RNAcentral lists this long non-coding RNA (2472 nucleotides) under Equus caballus (horse). Its description in RNAcentral is "lncRNA (ENSECAG00000058091.1)". Lineage: Eukaryota; Metazoa; Chordata; Mammalia; Perissodactyla; Equidae. The record is from RNAcentral.
AGAAAAAGCAGAAAAAAAAAGAAGAUUGGCAAAAGUUGUUAACUCAGGUGCCAAUCUUUAAAAAACAACCCAGAGAAAUAAGCAACCCAGGACGAGUGAACUGACCUUCCAAAGGAGUCCAACUCCUUCCAGCUCCCCGUCCACCAUCCCGAGGGCGUGGUCCUUGCCUCCUGUUUCAAGGAGGCUGGUCCAGCAGUCUCGGCAGGAUGAGGACAGAGGGAACAAAGGCCUCUCCUCUUCAAGCGAGCCUCCCGGGGUCCUACGUGGCACCUCCAGUUCCACUCACUAGCUAGAAUUCCAUAAUCACUGGUUGCAGUUGACAGAAUGGCUCCCCAAAAAUGUCCGCCCCGACCCCUGGAAUUUGUAAUGUGUUAAAUUACACGGCAAACUGGACUUCAUAAAUGUAAUUAAGGUUGCAGACAUUAAAAUAGCGAGAUUAUCCCAGAUUAUUCAGAUGGGCAAACUAAUCACAUGAGCCUUUAAAAGUGGAGAACUUUCUGCAGCUGGAGGCAAAAGAGAGCAACCCAUCCUUCCAGGGAAGUUGGCCAAAUUCCCUCCGACACAGUCAGCUUUGCUGACCCCAAGGUGCAGGGACCCACAGCAAGGAGCAGCGAGAGGGCAGCCUGCAGCUGACAGCCACAAGGAAACAGGUCUCUGCUACAGCCAACAACCUGAAUGACAGUGGAACUCAGUUCUUCCCAGAGCCUUCCACUAAGAGCCCAGCUGGCACCCUGAUUUUGGCUUUGUGGAACCCAGAGCAGAGAAACCAGCCAGGCUAACCCAGACCUCCGGCCUACAGAACCCUGAGAUAAGUGUGUAGGCUUCAGCUAUAGAGAAACCCUUCGGUCUUCCUUUCCAUCCGACUUACCCCUCCCUGUUGGAGAAGAAUCUGGUGGUGAUCUCAUUGGUGGAUGUGGGAGAAGUCACUGAGAAAGCUUACUUCAGCCUUGUCCUCUUUCUCUCUCCUUCUGGAGCCAUCUAUCCAAGGGCCCUGCCUUCAGGUCUAUCUAUCGUGUUGCAAACGUCCUGAUCAGGAGGGAGUUGUGCGUUGUCACACGUGCUCACGCCAGGAAGAGCAUGAGUGCAAGUAAAGAAGAGGAAAAAAGGAGAAAAUGAUCUAAUAUUCCAAAAUUAAGAAGAAAAAGAGGAGGAUCCAGCCAAGGAGACUGAGAAGGAGCAACCAGCAAGAUAGGAAGAAAACUAAGAAACAGUUGCAUUCUGGAAACCAAGUGAAGAAAGUUUCUUAAGGGAAAGGGAGUGAUCAAAUGCGUCAAAUGAUACCAAGAGGGCAAGUCAGAUGAACACUGAGAACUGUCCACCAUAUUUAGGACCAUGGAGGUCAAUCGGUGACCUCAAGAAGAACAAUUUUUAGACUCAUGAGGGAGAAAGUCUGGUUAGAUUUCAUUAAAAGAGAAAGGAAGAAGAAGUGAAAUCAAGGAGCAAAGACAACUCUUUUGCUCCAAAGAGGAACAAAGAAAUGGGGUAGUAGGUGGAAUGGAAAAUGGGUGAAGAGAAAUAUUUUUUAAGAUAAAAGAAGAAAUAAUAUGGGGGUAGGGCACAAAGGGGGAAGUGGUGUACCCACAGCAUGACUAACAAUAAUGUACAACUGAAAUCUCACAAGGUUGUAAUCUAUCAUAACAGUAAUAAAAAAAAAAAAAGAAAGAAAAAAAAGAAGAAAUAAUAUAUUUAUAUAUUCCUGAGAAUUAUUCCAUAGAGAGGGAAAAUUUGAUGAUGAGGAUGGGAGAAGGGAAUAUUGCUAGAGCAAUGUCCUUGAGUAGGCUACAGAGUAUAAGAUCUAAAGGUGAGGAAUACAAGACUGGUAAUGGAUCUAAGCUUUUACAUGGGCAGUAGAGUGGAAGGGUUUGGGGAGGUAAGGAGUGGGAGGAGCAAAGAAUAGAAUGGAAUGUACAGAGGCUGUGUGGAGUUUCCCUCAAUUUUUCAAACACUAUUCAUGUAAGAAUAAACACUUCACUGUAAAUGUGGUGUUUAGCAACUGAUUGCCUGAAGUAUAGAUUAUCCAAGAUUUUUCAUACCACGGCUUGCUAUAAUCUCCUAAGGAUUGGUGAGGAAAAGAAAUGGAGAUAAAACUCAAAAUCCAUGUCAAUUUGGACAUUGUAAGCAGAUCAUCAGAUUAAAGUUAGGUAAUGAUAAGAGGUUAUUUGUCAAAUACAUUUAAGAAUUUUCUGAGGACUUCACAUACUUAUGUUGCUCACAUUUUCCAUUGCCAUGACAUUUCCAAGUUUCAUGUUUGCGUUAUACGUCUAUGGAUGUGCAACUCAAAAUUAUAGUUUUAAAAAAGAACAAAUACAUUUGGUGGAAAUCUGGGAUCUUUGGCAUAGCUAAUAGAGAAGAGACUUCUAGUUAUUAAUUACAAUAAACAAACGUGUCCAUAAUGACAGAGUUUACAGCAAUGAGGCAUAUUUCUUCUUGCGAUAAUAAUUAAUUGGCUGAAGACUUGCUGGUCCAAUGGAA